Molecule: non-coding RNA, 47 nt
Filed under: Trichobilharzia regenti
Lineage: Eukaryota; Metazoa; Platyhelminthes; Trematoda; Strigeidida; Schistosomatidae
Source: RNAcentral
AGCUAGCUGACGAGUCACAAAUAGAACGAAAUGCGUGCAUCUUGGAU